AGCUUUGCGCAGUGGCAGUAUUGUAGCCAAUGAGGUUUAUCCGAGGCGCGAUUAUUGCUAAUUGAAAAAUCCUCCUGAUCACUC
Small nuclear RNA from Ictidomys tridecemlineatus (thirteen-lined ground squirrel), 84 nucleotides. Its record names the gene U4. It matches the Rfam family "U4 spliceosomal RNA". Rfam says of the family: U4 small nuclear RNA (U4 snRNA) is a component of the major U2-dependent spliceosome. The structure of U4 snRNA from yeast and human has been reported. U4 snRNA presents a k-turn RNA motif in the 5p-SL related to recognition of Snu13 protein. The record is from Ensembl. NCBI's taxonomy places the organism in Eukaryota, Metazoa, Chordata, Mammalia, Rodentia, Sciuridae.